RNAcentral lists this ribosomal RNA (507 nucleotides) under Mieniplotia scabra. RNAcentral describes it as "partial 16S ribosomal RNA". It matches the Rfam family "Bacterial large subunit ribosomal RNA", at positions 1817 to 2597 of the family's 2925-position model. The record is from RNAcentral. Lineage: Eukaryota; Metazoa; Mollusca; Gastropoda; Thiaridae.
GGCUCUUUGGAAAAAAAAUAUAAAGAGUCGAACCUGCCCAGUGAAAUUUUUAAACGGCCGCGGUACCCUGACCGUGCAAAGGUAGCAUAAUCAUUUGCCUUAUAAUUGAAGGCUGGCAUGAAGGGUCUGACGAGAGCGAUACUGUCUCCUCUUUAUUAUUUAAAAAUUAACCUAUAGGUGAAGAGGCCUAUAUUAAAUUGAAGGACAAGAAGACCCUGUCGAGCUUUAAAGAAAAGUAGGCACUAGCUUAUUAAAAAAAAUCAAUAAACUGCAUUAUAGUUUUUAGUUGGGGCGACGAAGGAACAAAUAAAGCUUCUUUUAUUCUUAUAGAUUUAUAGAUUUAGAUCCAGCAAAGCUGACUAAAAAAAUUAGUUACCGCAGGGAUAACAGCAUAAUCUCCUUUGAGAGACCUAAUCGAAAAGGGGGGUUGUGACCUCGAUGUUGGACUAGAAUAUCCUGGAGAUGCAGACGUCUUCGAGGGUUGGUCUGUUCGACCAUUAAAAUUCU